Molecule: long non-coding RNA, 348 nt
Organism: Prionailurus viverrinus (fishing cat)
Lineage: Eukaryota; Metazoa; Chordata; Mammalia; Carnivora; Felidae
Exons: 3
Source: RefSeq, a predicted model, not a curated record
GGUAUCUCACCGCUGCUUUGGUGCAGGGUUUAUGCUCAGCACGGAACGCAAUGUAGGGCUUGAACUCACGACCCAGAGAUCAAGACCUGGGCUGAGAUCCCGGAGUUGGAUGCUUAACGGACUGAGCCACCCAGGGGCCCCCAGUGUUUUGUGUUAUUAAGCUGUCUUUCAACUGACACCGUGAAAAGGGCCUUUUAAGCGCACUGAUACAUCCGGACCUGCUACUUGUACUAAUUUGUGCACCGUCUAGUUUGAUUCCACUGAGCUUUGGUAGAAGUUGCCUCCAGCAAUCUCACUUUAGAAAACUAUUUCCUGGGGCGCCUGGGUGGCGCAGUCGGUUAAGCGUCU